CCCAAUUCAAAAUUCUGGCGCUUGCUUACAAAUCCCUACAUAAUGCUGCUCCAACAUACCUAUCCUCCCUCAUACACAAGUAUGUCCCGUCGAGACCCCUGCGCUCAGCCCAAGACCUACUCCUAUCCUCUGCCCGGAUCCCCACCUCUGAUGCUCGCCUUCAAGACUUCUCCAGGGCUGCACCUAUUCUGUGGAACUCCCUUCCCUCCUCAAUCAGACUUUCACCCAGCCUCCAU
This is a non-coding RNA of Pelobates cultripes (western spadefoot toad), 236 nucleotides long. Lineage: Eukaryota; Metazoa; Chordata; Amphibia; Anura; Pelobatidae. The record is from the annotation of a GenBank genome assembly.